Long non-coding RNA from Gadus morhua (Atlantic cod), 635 nucleotides. RefSeq lists it as uncharacterized. Lineage: Eukaryota; Metazoa; Chordata; Actinopteri; Gadiformes; Gadidae. The record is from RefSeq and is a predicted model, not a curated record. The transcript is spliced from 3 exons.
UAUACGAAGCGUUCAGACAUUUGCAUUGUGUAGCCUACCCUCUAACCACAUUCUUACCACUUAUCUCAUGGACAUUAUUUGACAGUAGUCCAACCUAUACGAAAAUAACUGAAGUUAAAUUAUGGCGUGACUAAUUGAAAGUGCUCUGUGCUUUGUCUGUGAAGAUGUCUCGUUAGAAGACUGCUGUGAAAUAUGCUGUUGCGACUGCUCAAAGGAGAGGUCCGCCACCAGAGGCCAACAAUACAAGCCCCAAAGUGAAAAGGUUUGGACGGUCCAGAACAAUGAAACACCAACUGUUCAACAACCUCUUCCAAGGAGCCCUCCCUAACUCUGACCACCACACGUUCACUAGUGGUCUGCCGAAUGUUGUUCUGCUACUUCCUGCUGUUUUUUUGUACCUGUGAUAAUGAUGACCUGUCUGAAAAGCUUCCUUUGGGAGCGGGGAUAUUGUCUGAUGUCUUACAUGUAUAUAAAGGACCGCAGGAAAUACUGUUGAAUUACAUUACAAAUAAGAUAAAAUAGGAUAGUACUUUAAACCCAGAUGGAAAAUAAAUAAUGGGAUAGUAAUAUUGGUUUGAGGAUUAUAUGCAAUGAAGAAAUAUGUAAUUAUGAAAUAAAAUGAUUUGAUUAUCAAA